AGCUUUGCACAGUGGCAGUAUCGUAGCCACUGAGGUUUAUCCAAGGCACGAUUAUUGCUAAUUGAAAACUUUUCCCAAUACCCCACCACGACGGCUUGAAAUAUAGUCAGCAUUGGCAAUUUUUGACAGUCUCUACGGAGA
Molecule: small nuclear RNA, 141 nt
Filed under: Cebus imitator (Panamanian white-faced capuchin)
Lineage: Eukaryota; Metazoa; Chordata; Mammalia; Primates; Cebidae
Description: U4 spliceosomal RNA (ENSCCAG00000004458.1)
Rfam family: U4 spliceosomal RNA
About the family: U4 small nuclear RNA (U4 snRNA) is a component of the major U2-dependent spliceosome. The structure of U4 snRNA from yeast and human has been reported. U4 snRNA presents a k-turn RNA motif in the 5p-SL related to recognition of Snu13 protein.
Source: Rfam by way of RNAcentral